Small nuclear RNA from Hippopotamus amphibius kiboko, 107 nucleotides. The record is from RefSeq and is a predicted model, not a curated record. Lineage: Eukaryota; Metazoa; Chordata; Mammalia; Artiodactyla; Hippopotamidae.
AUGCUUGCUUGGAAAGUAUGUAUACUAAAAUUGGAACAAUGCAGAGAAGAUUAGCAUGGCCCUUGCACAAGGAUGCCAUGCAGAUUCAUGAAACCAUCCAUAUUUUU